RNAcentral lists this ribosomal RNA (274 nucleotides) under uncultured bacterium. RNAcentral's name for it is "partial 16S ribosomal RNA". It matches the Rfam family "Bacterial small subunit ribosomal RNA", at positions 523 to 796 of the family's 1533-position model. The record is from RNAcentral.
AUACGGAGGGGGCCAGCGUUGUUCGGAAUUACUGGGCGUAAAGCGUACGUAGGCGGACUGAUCAGUUGGGGGUGAAAUCCCAGGGCUUAACCCUGGAACUGCCUUCAAUACUGUCAGUCUUGAGUUUGGGAGAGGUGAGUGGAAUUCCUAGUGUAGAGGUGAAGUUCAUAGAUAUUAGGAGGAACACCAGUGGCGAAGGCGGCUCACUGGCCCAUUACUGACGCUGAGGUACGAAAGCGUGGGGAGCAAACAGGAUUAGAAACCCCAGUAGUCC